This is a long non-coding RNA of Canis lupus familiaris (dog), 1348 nucleotides long. RefSeq lists it as uncharacterized. Lineage: Eukaryota; Metazoa; Chordata; Mammalia; Carnivora; Canidae. The record is from RefSeq and is a predicted model, not a curated record. The transcript has 3 exons.
GGCGCUGAUGCUGUCUUAUAUGUACUUACAAAGAGUUCUGUCAGUUUUCUUUACUUCAGAUCUCUUUGUUGGUAUCCAGGGCCUACAGCACAAGGGUACUCAGUUUAGAUUCAAGCUGGGACUAUACAUAUAUAAAUCCAGAUUCAUAUAGAAGAAUGUCUACAAGAAAACAUACCAACUAUUUUCUUCAUGUGAUUACCGCUUCCUCUCAGCUGCUCCUGUAUUUGUGUAAGCCACGUGAUGAAGAAGAACAAACACAGACUCUGGAGUUUGAUGUCUAGGUCUCUGAUUAAAUCCAGACUGUCACUCACAGAUCAUAGCGAUGGGGAGAAAAUCCACAUCAAAUGACAAUGGUAGUGAAGCUGUAACACUGGGGGCAGAAAGGACAUACACAAAGUGGAAGGAAUAAAGAAAACUUGAAGAUCAGGGAAUGACAGAUUUAAAACAAUUGUGAAAACACAGAAGGGAUUAUUGACCUAAAUCAUUUGUCUCUAAAUCAAAAGACAAGAAAACAGAAAAGUUCUCCAUGUCAUAAAUGGAAAAAAACUGGAUUGCAGGGUGUUAAGCAGAAGCUCAGUGCCACUAUCCAGGGCUACCAUGGAAGAGGAGUGAGAAAUAGUGGCAGCAAGUGAGGAAUGGUGUGGCACAGGACCAGCGAUACUGCUGCCAUUCUUGACUGACCCCAGUUCUCCUGGACAUCCCAGUCCAUCCCGACACCUAUGGUUAUGUGCUGCUCAGCCCAUUUUCCUCAACAUCAGCAUCACCAUUAUGUGGAGAUUCUGAUUUCUCUAUUCCAAUGAUCAGAUCAGAUCCUUGGAGAUAGCAUUGGUUUGGAAGUAAACUGGUGAUCAUCGCUCCCCUUGGACACCAUAGUAAGAAUGCUGGUGAGCCCUGCCCAGUCCAGACCACUAGGCUUAUCGCCUAAACCCAGUCACCCUGUUCACAGCUUUCUCCUAUAUGCUCACUAUCCCCAUUACUAAGCUUCUGAUGCAACUUUUGUUCCUGUCCAUAAGGUUAUAAGAAUUUAGAAACUGAUUAUAUCUAUAGGCAAUGCACAAUUCUGUUACGCAACAAUUUUGUUUGAUUUUUGUGUGUGUGUGUGUGACUUAACAAAUGAUUAUCUGUGAAUGGCAACUAUGAGGAAAUCUGCAGAAAACAGAAAAAUAUCUUGUGAGUCAGAAAAGUACCUGUUUUUGGAAUCUGAUGAAGAGUUACCGGCUGAUGUCUAGUUCUAAAAAAUGUCACUCUGCUUUGGAGAUGUAAGAGUCCUGAAUGUUUAUAUAGUAAGCAUCAUUCCAAUAAUGGAUCUAUAUUUAGUGUAUUUUAAACCUGCUCCUUUUUGUGACAU